Molecule: transfer RNA, 69 nt
Filed under: Rattus norvegicus (Norway rat)
Lineage: Eukaryota; Metazoa; Chordata; Mammalia; Rodentia; Muridae
Rfam family: tRNA
About the family: Transfer RNA (tRNA) molecules are approximately 80 nucleotides in length.
Source: Rfam by way of RNAcentral
GGGGCUUUAGCUCAGUGGUAGAGCACUUGCCUAGCAAGCACAAGGCCCUGGGUUCGAUCCUCAGCUCCG